CCUACGGGAGGCAGCAGUGAGGAAUAUUGGUCAAUGGACGUAAGUCUGAACCAGCCAUGCCGCGUGCGGGAAGACGGCUCUAUGAGUCGUAAACUUCUUUUGUACGGGGGUAAACUCCGAUACGUGUCUCUUUCUGAAUGUACCGUACGAAUAAGGAUCGGCUAACUCCGUGCCAGCAGCCGCGGUAAUACGGAGGAUUCAAGCGUUAUCCGGAUUUAUUGGGUUUAAAGGGUGCGUAGGCGGUCGGAUAAGUUAGAGGUGAAAUCCCGAGGCUCAACUUCGGAAUUGCCUCUGAUACUGUUCGGCUAGAGAGUAGUUGCGGUAGGCGGAAUGUGUGGUGUAGCGGUGAAAUGCUUAGAGAU
RNAcentral lists this ribosomal RNA (362 nucleotides) under uncultured bacterium. Its description in RNAcentral is "partial 16S ribosomal RNA". It matches the Rfam family "Bacterial small subunit ribosomal RNA", at positions 338 to 697 of the family's 1533-position model. The record is from RNAcentral.